UAGGAAAUCUUCGGCAAUGGACGAAAGUCUGACCGAGCAACGCCGCGUGAGUGAAGAAGGUUUUCGGAUCGUAAAACUCUGUUGUUAGAGAAGAACAAGGACGUCAGUAACUGAACGUCCCCUGACGGUAUCUAACCAGAAAGCCACGGCUAACUACGUGCCAGCAGCCGCGGUAAUACGUAGGUGGCAAGCGUUGUCCGGAUUUAUUGGGCGUAAAGCGAGCGCAGGCGGUUUCUUAAGUCUGAUGUGAAAGCCCCCGGCUCAACCGGGGAGGGUCAUUGGAAACUGGGAGACUUGAGUGCAGAAGAGGAGAGUGGAAUUCCAUGUGUAGCGGUGAAAUGCGUAGAUAUAUGGAGGAACACCAGUGGCGAAGGCGGCUCUCUGGUCUGUAACUGACGCUGAGGCUCGAAAGCGUGGGGAGCAAACAGG
RNAcentral lists this ribosomal RNA (429 nucleotides) under Gemmatimonadota bacterium. RNAcentral's name for it is "Gemmatimonadetes bacterium partial 16S ribosomal RNA". It matches the Rfam family "Bacterial small subunit ribosomal RNA", at positions 355 to 776 of the family's 1533-position model. The record is from RNAcentral. Lineage: Bacteria; Pseudomonadati; Gemmatimonadota.